UUUAUCAAGAUGUUUCAGUGAUGGUGGAGAGUGCAGAUAACUUUAAUGGUUGAUCGUGCUACUAGAUAAAUGGUUCAAAGAAGCUCUUGGAAUAGACGUGUUGGAUCAAUGUCGAGUUAACUUGAUUGAACAUAUAUUAGGGUAGCGUAACGGAAAGAAGGAAAGAUGGUAGCUCAGAAAAAUGAAGAAGCAAUUUGAUAUUUCAAAAGUAUCAACAGAAGAAUGGAGCAGAUGGUCGAGAACAAGUACAAAUUAUUCUUAGGAUCAUCAUAAAAACAAAAUUUGAGCAGAGAGGUAUUGGUUAAAUUUCAAGUGGGUAGAAUGGGAAGGAAGCAGAAUUAUGGACCAAGAAAAUGUUACGACCAUUGCAAUUAGCCAAGGAUGAAGAUUUCAAUACGAUUGCAGGCAUGGUUGGAUGAGUGGGUAAGAAUCGUCGUUAGUAAAAUGAUAUGCAAGUUGGUUCAACCAUUCAAUGGUUUGCAAGUUGGUUCAACCAUUCAAUGGUUUGACGCAAAAUUAUGUGAGGUAUGGUGGAUGACAUACGGCAAAGAAAGGUUUGUGGUUCAGGAAGAGUUCAUUUGGGUAUGUAUGUGUUAGUGAAGUCCAGUUGGGAAUACUUUUGCAUGGAUGCAUCCAAGACUGGAAUUAUUUAUUUUAUGAAUGUGAUAUCGCGUAUUUGUCUUGACGGUUGUGGAACAAAAGGAUUGCAGUCAGCGCUGAAAAAUAUUGUGAAUCAAGGGUGAUCCAGAUGAUGUGAGUGCUUUGAGUGAGAAAUCAGGUGAUCA
RNAcentral lists this long non-coding RNA (785 nucleotides) under Brassica napus (rape). RNAcentral describes it as "long non-coding RNA (BNAP_LNC016473)". The record is from RNAcentral. Lineage: Eukaryota; Viridiplantae; Streptophyta; Magnoliopsida; Brassicales; Brassicaceae.